This is a non-coding RNA of Solanum lycopersicum (tomato), 91 nucleotides long. NCBI's taxonomy places the organism in Eukaryota, Viridiplantae, Streptophyta, Magnoliopsida, Solanales, Solanaceae. The record is from Rfam.
UGGCUGUAGCUAAAUGAAUUCAAUUUGAGUGGUUUACUGGCCGGUUGUCGUUCUGCUGUCGAUUUAUCUGCUUACCGAACUUCUUACAUUU